RNAcentral lists this ribosomal RNA (456 nucleotides) under uncultured Sphingobacteriales bacterium. Its description in RNAcentral is "bacterial SSU rRNA". It matches the Rfam family "Bacterial small subunit ribosomal RNA", at positions 924 to 1382 of the family's 1533-position model. The record is from RNAcentral. Lineage: Bacteria; Pseudomonadati; Bacteroidota; Sphingobacteriia; Sphingobacteriales.
CACAAGCGGAGGAGCAUGUGGUUAAUUCGAUGAUACGCGAGGAACUUACCUGGGCUCGAACGUAAGAUGACUGUAGGUGAAAGCUUACAUCUCUUCGGAGCAUUUUACGAGGUGCUGCAUGGUUGUCGUCAGCUCGUGCCGUGAGGUGUCGGGUUAAGUCCCAUAACGAGCGCAACCCCUACCUUUAGUUGCCAUCAGGUUAAGCUGGGGACUCUAAAGGAACUGCCUACGCAAGUAGUGAGGAAGGCGGGGAUGACGUCAAAUCAGCACGGCCCUUACGUCCAGGGCUACACACGUGCUACAAUGGCCGAUACAGAGGGCAGCUACCUGGUGACAGGAUGCAAAUCUCCAAAGUCGGUCUCAGUUCGGAUCGGAGUCUGCAACCCGACUCCGUGAAGUUGGAUUCGCUAGUAAUCGCGCAUCAGCCAUGGCGCGGUGAAUACGUUCCCGGGCCUU